UUUUAAGAGAGUUUGAUCCUAGCUCAGGAUGAACGCUGGCGGCGUGGAUAAGGCAUGCAAGUAGAACGCCCCGCAAGGGGAGUUGCGAACGAGGUAGUAAUACAUAGGUACAAACCCCCGAGUCAGGAAUAACCUACCGAAAGGUAGGCUAAUACUUGAUAGUCCCGUAAGGGUAAAGAUUUAUCGCUUGGGGAUUGGCCUGUGGAGUAUCAGCUAGUUGGUAGGGUAAUGGCCUACCAAGGCUAUGACGCUUAGGGGAGGUGAGAGCCUGGCCCCCACCGAUGGUACUGCGACACGGACCAUACACCUACGGGUGGCUGCAGUCGAGAAUCUUCCGCAAUGGACGCAAGUCUGACGGAGCGACGCCGCGUGAUUGAAGAAGUCUUUCGGGAUGUAAAGAUCUUUUAUGUGGGAGAAAAUUUUGAUAGUACCACAUGAAUAAGGGGUUGCUAAACUCGUGCCAGCAGCAGCGGUAAUACGAGUACCCCGAGCGUUAUCCGGAAUUAUUGGGCGUAAAGGGUGUGUAGGCGGUUAUGUUAGUCUUUUGUCAAAGCCUUCGGCUCAACCGGAGAAUUGCGGGAGAAACGGCAUAACUAGAGAGUGUGAGAGGUUUGCGGAACUCAUGGUGUAGGGGUGAAAUCCGUUGAUAUCAUGGGGAACACCAAAAGCGAAGGCAGCAAACUGGCACAUUUCUGACGCUGAAACACGAAAGCGUAGGUAGCGAAUGGGAUUAGAUACCCCAGUAGUCUACGCCCUAAACGAUGAUCUCUAGCUUUUCGGAGUAUCGACCCUCUGAGAGGCGAAGCUAACGCGUUAAGAGAUCCGCCUGGGAAGUACGACCGCAAGGUUAAAACUCAAAGGAAUAGACGGGGACUUGCACAAGCGGUGGAUCAGGUGGCUUAAUUCGAUGGUAAACGAAGAACCUCACCAGGGUUUGAAACCCAUAAGAAAGACCAAGGAAACUUGGUAACUCCGCAAGGACUUAUGGGCAGGUGAUGCAUGGCCGUCGUCAGUUCGUGGUUUGAACUGUCCCCUUAAGUGG
Candidatus Nomurabacteria bacterium CG1_02_43_90 is the source of this 1042-nucleotide non-coding RNA. Lineage: Bacteria; Candidatus Nomuraibacteriota. The record is from Rfam.